UACGAAGGGGGCUAGCGUUGUUCGGAAUUACUGGGCGUAAAGCGCACGUAGGCGGACUACUAAGUCAGGGGUGAAAUCCCGGGGCUCAACCCCGGAACUGCCUUUGAUACUGAUAGUCUCGAGUCCGGAAGAGGUGAGUGGAAUUCCGAGUGUAGAGGUGAAAUUCGUAGAUAUUAGGAGGAACACCAGUGGCGAAGGCGGCUCACUGGUCCGGUACUGACGCUGAGGUGCGAAAGCGUGGGGAGCAAACAGG
RNAcentral lists this ribosomal RNA (253 nucleotides) under uncultured bacterium. RNAcentral's name for it is "partial 16S ribosomal RNA". It matches the Rfam family "Bacterial small subunit ribosomal RNA", at positions 524 to 776 of the family's 1533-position model. The record is from RNAcentral.